GUACCUUUUGCAUCAUGAUUUAGCCAGUGCAACCCAAGCAAAGAGCACUUUAGUUUGAUAACCCGAAACUUUGUGAGCUACUCCAAGGCAGCCUAAUCAAUAGGGCCAACCCGUCUCUGUGGCAAAAGAGUGGGAAGACCUUCGAGUAGAGGUGAUAAACCUACCGAACUUAGUAAUAGCUGGUUGCCCAAUAACUGGAUAGAAGUUCAGCCUCCCGGCUUCUCCCUUCCCCUACCCCUAUUCAUCUCAACAGAUACUACAAGAAACCAGGAGAGUUAGUCAAAGGGGGUACAGCCCCUUAGAAACAAGAUACAACUUUUUUAGGAGGAUAAAGAUCAUAUUUAACUAAGGCAAAACAUCAGGGUGGGCUUGAAAGCAGCCAUCCCAUCAAAAAGCGUUAAAGCUCAGACACAUAAUGUUAUAAGCCCUAAGUUUCGACCAUUACUUCUUACUCCCCUUAUCCUACUGGGCCUUCCCAUGCAAACAUGGGAGUGAUCCUGCUAAAAUCAGUAUAUAAGAGAGCCUAACGGCUCUCUCCCUGCAUACGUG
This 549-nucleotide ribosomal RNA is filed under the name Epinephelus amblycephalus. RNAcentral describes it as "partial 16S ribosomal RNA". It matches the Rfam family "Bacterial large subunit ribosomal RNA", at positions 601 to 1347 of the family's 2925-position model. Lineage: Eukaryota; Metazoa; Chordata; Actinopteri; Perciformes; Serranidae. The record is from RNAcentral.